AUUGCCCCAGUAACGGCGAGUGAAGCGGCAACAGCUCAAAUUUGAAAUCUGGCCUUCGGGUCCGAGUUGUAAUUUGUAGAGGAUGCUUUUGGCGCGGUGCCUUCCGAGUUCCCUGGAACGGGACGCCAUAGAGGGUGAGAGCCCCGUCUGGUUGGACACCAAGCCUCUGUAAAGCUCCUUCGACGAGUCGAGUAGUUUGGGAAUGCUGCUCUAAAUGGGAGGUAUAUGUCUUCUAAAGCUAAAUAUUGGCCAGAGACCGAUAGCGCACAAGUAGAGUGAUCGAAAGAUGAAAAGCACUUUGAAAAGAGAGUUAAAUAGCACGUGAAAUUGUUGAAAGGGAAGCGAUUAUGACCAGACUUGGGCUUGGUUGAUCAUCCGGCGUUCUCGCCGGUGCACUCUUCCGGCCCAGGCCAGCAUCAGUUCGCUGCGGGGGAUAAAGGCGUCGGGAAUGUGGCUCCCUCGGGAGUGUUAUAGCCCUUCGUGCAAUGCCCUGCGGUGGACUGAGGACCGCGCUUUAUGCAAGGAUGCUGGCGUAAUGGUCAUCAUCGACCCGUCUUGAAACACGGACCAAGGAGUCGUCUUCGUAUGCGAGUGUUCGGGUGUCAAACCCCUACGCGUAAUGAAAGUGAACGCAGGUGAGAGCUUCGGCGCAUCACCGACCGAUCCUGAUGUUCUCGGAUGGAUUUGAGUAAGAGCAUACGGAGCCGGACCCGAAAGAAGGUGAACUAUGCCUGUAUAGGGUGAAGCCAGAGGAAACUCUGGUGGAGGCUCGCAGCGGUUCUGACGUGCAAAUCGAUCGUCAAAUAUGGGCAUGGGGGCGAAAGACUAAU
This 830-nucleotide ribosomal RNA is filed under the name Pseudonectria buxi. Its description in RNAcentral is "eukaryotic LSU rRNA". It matches the Rfam family "Eukaryotic large subunit ribosomal RNA", at positions 74 to 935 of the family's 3401-position model. The record is from RNAcentral. Lineage: Eukaryota; Fungi; Ascomycota; Sordariomycetes; Hypocreales; Nectriaceae.